This 62-nucleotide transfer RNA is filed under the name Nymphon australe. Its description in RNAcentral is "tRNA-Gln". Lineage: Eukaryota; Metazoa; Arthropoda; Pycnogonida; Pantopoda; Nymphonidae. The record is from RNAcentral.
AUUCUAAUAGUGUAUUAUGCAUACUUUAUUUUGAUUAAAGGGGAUUAACUUUAUUUAGAAUA